UUCGGAAUAGCUCAGUUGGUAGAGCAGCGCACUGUUAAUGCGUGGGUCCCUGGUUCGAGUCCAGGUUCCGGAGCCA
Molecule: transfer RNA, 76 nt
Filed under: compost metagenome
Description: tRNA-Asn
Rfam family: tRNA
About the family: Transfer RNA (tRNA) molecules are approximately 80 nucleotides in length. Their secondary structure includes four short double-helical elements and three loops (D, anti-codon, and T loops).
Source: RNAcentral